GGCCCCAGGACCCGGCAAGAGCCAUCACCGUCCUCUGAAGGCGGCAGGGAGUUUUGGAUUUUCUGUUCACGAUCGGUCUUCCACGCCGAAGGGUGCCUCGUGAACAUAGUAGGCGCUCAAGAAACAUUUUGGAGAGAGGAGGAGAGGAACUGGUCCUCGAGCAGAAUGGCCUCCCGCAUGGUUCUUAAUGUUGUGGCAAGAAGGGAAAUUCCCAGAAUGAUCCAGUUUGGCAGCACGGGCAACGGCAUCAAUCGGGGAUGCUGCAGACGGCUUGGGUUUGCACCAGUUACUAGCGGGUUGACUAGCUCACGUGACCUUACUUCUCUGCACCUUAGUCUCUUCUACUGUUAUGUGGAAUAAAGUCCCCACCUACCAGGA
Long non-coding RNA from Mustela lutreola (European mink), 378 nucleotides. RefSeq lists it as uncharacterized. NCBI's taxonomy places the organism in Eukaryota, Metazoa, Chordata, Mammalia, Carnivora, Mustelidae. The record is from RefSeq and is a predicted model, not a curated record. The transcript is spliced from 2 exons.